This 519-nucleotide ribosomal RNA is filed under the name uncultured eukaryote. RNAcentral's name for it is "bacterial SSU rRNA". The stretch from base 14 to 432 matches the Rfam family "Eukaryotic small subunit ribosomal RNA", at positions 1174 to 1613 of the family's 1831-position model. The record is from RNAcentral.
AGGGCGCCCCCUGGAGUGGAGCCUGCGGCUUAAUUUGACUCACCCCGGGAAAACUCGCCCUGGCCCGACACGGUAAAGAUUGAGGGACUGAAAGCUCUUUCUUUUUUCUGUGGGUGGAGGUGCAUGGUCGUUCUCGACCAUGAUCUGACAUUUGGUUGGCUAAUUCAAUGGACAAAGGAGACUCUGGCCUAUUAAAUAGACGGUAUAUCGAAAAGUAUAUCUGUCUUCUUAGAGGGACAAGCGGCGUCUAGCCAUUUGAAAUAGAGAAAUAGCCGGGAUGUGAUGCCCUUAGAUGUCCGGGGCUGCACCCGGCGCUACACUGAAAGAAUAAAAGUGCGGCCGGCCCUAAGGUCUAUGCGCUCACUCCCCAGGAGAUAAUUCUUCUGGGCUUGGGAUAGGGAAUUGCAAUUAUUUCCCUUAAACGAGGAAUUCAAAAAGGAAGGCCUUGCCGAUCCUCAAAAUGAUCUGGCCCCUCCCCUGUCGACCAUCCCCCCGUCCCUCCUCCCAAUCGGAUAACGC